AGAGACAGCAGUAGCCACGGGAAUACGGAGGGUGCAAGCGUUAAUCGGAAUUACUGGGCGUAAAGCGCACGCAGGCGGUUUGUUAAGUCAGAUGUGAAAUCCCCGAGCUUAACUUGGGAACUGCAUUUGAAACUGGCAAGCUAGAGUCUUGUAGAGGGGGGUAGAAUUCCAGGUGUAGCGGUGAAAUGCGUAGAGAUCUGGAGGAAUACCGGUGGCGAAGGCGGCCCCCUGGACAAAGACUGACGCUCAGGUGCGAAAGCGUGGGGAGCAAACAGGAUUAGAUACCCGCGUAGUCCCUGUCUCUUAUAC
This 309-nucleotide ribosomal RNA is filed under the name uncultured bacterium. Its description in RNAcentral is "partial 16S ribosomal RNA". It matches the Rfam family "Bacterial small subunit ribosomal RNA", at positions 504 to 807 of the family's 1533-position model. The record is from RNAcentral.